Molecule: non-coding RNA, 78 nt
Filed under: Nitrosospira multiformis
Lineage: Bacteria; Pseudomonadati; Pseudomonadota; Betaproteobacteria; Nitrosomonadales; Nitrosomonadaceae
Also listed under: 1 other name
Description: SAH sequence
Rfam family: SAH (S-adenosyl-L-homocysteine) riboswitch aptamer
Source: RNAcentral
CAGACCGAGGAGCGCUGCAACGGGCAUUGUCCCGCGAGGCUCGGCAAGGAAGGAUCGCUACAACGGCGCUCGUUCAUU